CCUACGGGUGGCAGCAGUGAGGAAUAUUGGUCAAUGGACGUGAGCCUGAACCAGCCAAGUAGCGUGAAGGAUGACUGCCCUAUGGGUUGUAAACUUCUUUUAUAAGGGAAUAAAAUGUGGCACGUGUGCUUUUUUGCAUGUACUUUAUGAAUAAGGAUCGGCUAACUCCGUGCCAGCAGCCGCGGUAAUACGGAGGAUCCGAGCGUUAUCCGGAUUUAUUGGGUUUAAAGGGAGCGUAGAUGGGUUGUUAAGUCAGUUGUGAAAGUUUGCGGCUCAACCGUAAAAUUGCAGUUGAUACUGGCAGUCUUGAGUACAGUAGAGGUGGGCGGAAUUCGUGGUGUAGCGGUGAAAUGCUUAGAUAUCACGAAGAACCCCGAUUGCGAAGGCAGCUUACUAGACUGUAACUGACACUGAGGCUCGAAAGUGUGGGUAUCAAACAGGAUUAGAUACCCCAGUAGUC
This 460-nucleotide ribosomal RNA is filed under the name uncultured bacterium. RNAcentral's name for it is "partial 16S ribosomal RNA". It matches the Rfam family "Bacterial small subunit ribosomal RNA", at positions 338 to 795 of the family's 1533-position model. The record is from RNAcentral.